This is a long non-coding RNA of Poecilia latipinna (sailfin molly), 729 nucleotides long. RefSeq lists it as uncharacterized. The record is from RefSeq and is a predicted model, not a curated record. The transcript is spliced from 2 exons. Lineage: Eukaryota; Metazoa; Chordata; Actinopteri; Cyprinodontiformes; Poeciliidae.
GAAUAAAUAGUUGCCCAUGUUAAAAUCUGACAUAAAUAGGAAUAAAUAGCUGAUUAAAGUCUGUGAACAGAAAAUACCAUCGCUGUUUCUUUAAGAAACCAGCGUCACAGACGCGGCGCCUGGGUGACGCUGCAGUGCACAAACCUGAGGGAGAGAGCAGAGGAGGAAUCGGAGGAAAAGAGCGGUGAUUAAUUAACAGAAAAGUUAAUAUUAUAGUUGAGAAAACAUAAUUUACCUGGUCGGAAACUGACGGGGAUUUUAUGAGAACUAAGUUACAUCGGUUUUGGUCAGGUUUUUUUGUUCGGUUGGAAUCUCAGACGGAGCGAGGAUUGGUCUGCCAUGUGCGACGUGCACAUUUACAGACGGGAUUCAAGAUGGCGAGCCAGACCAAGACCUUCAACUCAUCUCCAUCGUAUCAGGGAGGGACUCUCCUGCGUGGGGUAAUUCGCUGCCGGAGCGGUAGGAAUAUCAGGAACUAGUUCAAACUGAACUGAACAGGAUUAAGAACUGAUUGAGUUAUUAUUAUUUUUGGACUGAAUCAAACUGAAGCUUUUCAUUGAACUGAGCACCUGAACUCACAUUUGGACUUGAACUUGAAUUUAAAGUGCCCUACUUUGAUUUUCAUGUUAUAUCUCUGAAUGUGAUUUGAAUAAUUGUGGUCCACUUUGAUUUAAUUGUGUUUGAAGGUAUUUCCUUACCUGUGAAAGACAAGAAAACGAGUUAACUCAG